CAGUAGCCACGGGAAUACAGAGGGUGCGAGCGUUAAUCGGAUUUACUGGGCGUAAAGCGUGCGUAGGCGGCUUCUUAAGUCGGAUGUGAAAUCCCUGAGCUUAACUUAGGAAUUGCAUUCGAUACUGGGAAGCUAGAGUAUGGGAGAGGAUGGUAGAAUUCCAGGUGUAGCGGUGAAAUGCGUAGAGAUCUGGAGGAAUACCGAUGGCGAAGGCAGCCAUCUGGCCUAAUACUGACGCUGAGGUACGAAAGCAUGGGGAGCAAACAGGAUUAGAGACCCCAGUAGUCCCUGUCUCUUAUAC
This 301-nucleotide ribosomal RNA is filed under the name uncultured bacterium. RNAcentral describes it as "partial 16S ribosomal RNA". It matches the Rfam family "Bacterial small subunit ribosomal RNA", at positions 509 to 807 of the family's 1533-position model. The record is from RNAcentral.